CCUACGGGAGGCAGCAGUGAGGAAUAUUGGUCAAUGGACGCAAGUCUGCACCAGCCAAGUAGCGUGCAGGAUGACGGCCCUCCGGGUUGUAAACUGCUUUUAUUUGGGAAUAAAAGGGGGCUCGUGAACCUCGUAUUGUAUGUACCAUCAGAAAAAGAACCGGCUAAUUCCGUGCCAGCAGCCGCGGUAAUACGGAAGGUCCGGGCGUUAUCCGGAUUUAUUGGGUUUAAAGGGAGCUUAGGCCGGCUUUUACGUCAGCUGUGAAAUGCCGCGGCGCAACCGUGGAUUUGCAGUUGACACUGGAGGCCUUGAGUGCACAGAGAGAUGCCGGAAUUCGUGGUGUAGCGGUGAAAUGCUUAGAUAUGAUGAAGAACUCCGAUCGCGAAGGCAAGUGUCCGGGGUGCAACUGACGCUGAGGCUCGAAAGUGCGGGUAUCAAACAGGAUUAGAUACCCCUGUAGUC
RNAcentral lists this ribosomal RNA (462 nucleotides) under uncultured bacterium. Its description in RNAcentral is "partial 16S ribosomal RNA". It matches the Rfam family "Bacterial small subunit ribosomal RNA", at positions 338 to 795 of the family's 1533-position model. The record is from RNAcentral.